UAAAUAGAUGGACUGAUUUUAAGAUAUGUGAUUGAAUUUGUGGGUCCAUGGAAGACGUUCCGUAUAAGAUUGUUUCUAAUGAAAAGCCAUUGGUAUAAUACAAUUUAUUUACUCUUACAGCAUCAAAUCUGGGACAUACAAAGAAGUAAUGACGUGCAUCUUCAGUAGGGUGGCCACGCAAACAAUCUGCUCUCUCUGAUAUAUGUCUGUUGUGUUUGUCAGGAUGUUUUGUAG
Molecule: long non-coding RNA, 234 nt
Organism: Haliotis rubra (blacklip abalone)
Lineage: Eukaryota; Metazoa; Mollusca; Gastropoda; Lepetellida; Haliotidae
Exons: 3
Source: RefSeq, a predicted model, not a curated record